GACGAACGCUGGCGGCGUGCUUAAUACAUGCAAGUCGAACGGACAGGCCCUGCUCUUGUUGGGUGCUCGAGUGGCGAACGGGUGAGUAACACGUGAGUAAACUGCACCUGACAUUGGGAUAACUUCUGGAAAAUGGGGCUAAUAUCGGAUAGGAGCUCCUGCUGCAUGGUGGGGGUUGGUAAGUUUCGGCGGUUGGGGAUGGACUCGCGGCUUAUCCGCUUGUUGGUGGGGUAGUGGCUUACCAAGGCUUUGACGGGUAGCCGGCCUGAGAGGGUGACCGGCGACAUUGGGACUGAGAUACGGCCCAGACUCCUACGGGAGGCAGCAGUGGGGAAUAUUGCACAAUGGGCGGAAGCCUGAUGCAGCGACGCCGCGUGCGGGAUGACGGCCUUCGGGGUGUAAACCGCUUUCGCCUGUGACGAAGCGUGAGUGACGGUAAUGGGUAAAGAAGCACCGGCUAACUACGUG
This 468-nucleotide ribosomal RNA is filed under the name uncultured bacterium. RNAcentral's name for it is "partial 16S ribosomal RNA". It matches the Rfam family "Bacterial small subunit ribosomal RNA", at positions 28 to 507 of the family's 1533-position model. The record is from RNAcentral.